CUUUACUGUAGCCUGGAAUUGGGUUCGGGCUUUGACUGCGCAGGAUAGGUGGGAGACUAUGAAGCUACCCUUGUGGGGGUAGUGGAGUCAACGGUGAGAUACCACUCUGUUAAAGCUAGAAUUCUAACCGAUAGCCGUUAUCCGGCAUCGGAACAGUUUCAGGUGGGCAGUUUGACUGGGGCGGUCGCCUCCUAAACGAUAACGGAGGCGCGCAAAGGUUCUCUCAGGCUGGUUGGAAAUCAGCCGUAGAGUGUAAAAGCAUAAGAGAGCUUGACUGUGAGACUGACAAGUCGAGCAGGGACGAAAGUCGGCUUUAGUGAUCCGACGGUUCCGUGUGGAAGGGCCGUCGCUCAACGAAUAAAAGUUA
RNAcentral lists this ribosomal RNA (367 nucleotides) under uncultured organism. RNAcentral describes it as "bacterial LSU rRNA". It matches the Rfam family "Bacterial large subunit ribosomal RNA", at positions 2099 to 2465 of the family's 2925-position model. The record is from RNAcentral.